Molecule: ribosomal RNA, 450 nt
Filed under: uncultured bacterium
Lineage: Bacteria
Description: partial 16S ribosomal RNA
Rfam family: Bacterial small subunit ribosomal RNA
Source: RNAcentral
GCUCCAGACUCCUACGGGAGGCAGCAGUGGGGGAUAUUGCACAAUGGGGGGAACCCUGAUGCAGCGACGCCGCGUGGGUGAAGGAGCGUUUCGGCGCGUAAAGCUCUAUCAGCAGGGAAGAAAAUGACGGUACCUGACUAAGAAGCCCCGGCUAACUACGUGCCAGCAGCCGCGGUAAUACGUAGGGGGCAAGCGUUAUCCGGAUUUACUGGGUGUAAAGGGAGCGUAGACGGUCCUGCAAGCCAGAUGUGAAAGCCCGGGGCUCAACCCCGGGACUGCAUUUGGAACUGUAAGGCUAGAGUGUCGGAGAGGCAGGCGGAAUUCCUAGUGUAGCGGUGAAAUGCGUAGAUAUUAGGAGGAACACCGGCGGCGAAGGCGGCCUGCUGGACCGUAACUGACGUUGAGGCUCGAAAGCGUGGGGAGCAAACAGGAUUAGAUACCCUGGUAGGA